This 465-nucleotide ribosomal RNA is filed under the name uncultured bacterium. RNAcentral's name for it is "partial 16S ribosomal RNA". It matches the Rfam family "Bacterial small subunit ribosomal RNA", at positions 28 to 507 of the family's 1533-position model. The record is from RNAcentral.
GACGAACGCUGGCGGCGUGCUUAACACAUGCAAGUCGAACGGAAAGGCCCUGCUUGCGGGGUACUCGAGUGGCGAACGGGUGAGUAACACGUGGGUGAUCUGCCCUGCACUUCGGGAUAAGCUUGGGAAACUGUGUCUAAUACCGGAGAUGAACCAUCUUGCGUGUAGUGGGUGGAAAGUUUUUUCGGUGUGGGAUGGGCGCGCGGCCUAUCAGCUUGUUGGUGGGGUAAUGGCCUACCAAGGCGGGGACGGGUAGCCGGCCUGGGAGGGUGGACGGCCACAAUGGGACUGAGAUACGGCCCAGACUCCCACGGGAGGGCGCAGUGGGGGAAAUUGCACAAUGGGGGCAAGCCUGAUUCAAGCACGGCGGGUGGGGGGUGAAGGCCUUCGGGUUGUAAACUCCUUUCGCUAGGGAAGAAGCUUUUUGUGACGGUACCUAGAUAAGAAGCACCGGCUAACUACGUG